RNAcentral lists this ribosomal RNA (431 nucleotides) under Escherichia coli. RNAcentral's name for it is "bacterial SSU rRNA". It matches the Rfam family "Bacterial small subunit ribosomal RNA", at positions 367 to 790 of the family's 1533-position model. The record is from RNAcentral. Lineage: Bacteria; Pseudomonadati; Pseudomonadota; Gammaproteobacteria; Enterobacterales; Enterobacteriaceae.
CGCAAUGGGCGAAAGCCUGACGGAGCAACGCCGCGUGAGUGAUGAAGGUCUUCGGAUCGUAAAACUCUGUUAUUAGGGAAGAACAUAUGUGUAAGUAACUGUGCACAUCUUGACGGUACCUAAUCAGAAAGCCACGGCUAACUACGUGCCAGCAGCCGCGGUAAUACGUAGGUGGCAAGCGUUAUCCGGAAUUAUUGGGCGUAAAGCGCGCGUAGGCGGUUUUUUAAGUCUGAUGUGAAAGCCCACGGCUCAACCGUGGAGGGUCAUUGGAAACUGGAAAACUUGAGUGCAGAAGAGGAAAGUGGAAUUCCAUGUGUAGCGGUGAAAUGCGCAGAGAUAUGGAGGAACACCAGUGGCGAAGGCGACUUUCUGGUCUGUAACUGACGCUGAUGUGCGAAAGCGUGGGGAUCAAACAGGAUUAGAUACCCUGG